UGCCCGGCACGGCGUAAAACUGUACAGCCCGAGGGAGCGACCCCGUAAAAAGCACA
This 56-nucleotide non-coding RNA is filed under the name unclassified sequences. The record is from RNAcentral.